UGACCGCCUGGUUGGGGGUGGGGGGCAGAGCCCUGGGGGCUAAGGCUGUGCGGCCUGAGCAUUCCUCGGCCCAGGGCGACCCCGGGUCCCGGGAUCGAGUCCUGCCCCGCCCUCCCCGCGGGGAGCCCGCUGCCCCCUCCCCGGGUGUCUGCCUCUCUCUGGGGGCCCCGUGAGUACACAAAUCACAUCUUUAAAGUAAAAUAUGUAAAAUAAAGAUCCGUGGAGGAUGGAGACCGCCCGAAGCCACAAGCCGGCAGCGGGUCCGGUGCAGCCUCCUGGGGGCCGCUGGGGGGCGUGGCCGGGGGGGCGCGAGUGCGAGGCCGCGGGGCCCGGGGGGGGGGGGGGGGCACGAGCCCAGCCGGUGGUGUUCCCGGCUCCCCGGGCUGCGUGCGGCCGUUUGCGCGGCUCAUCGCGGAAGCGUCCUCGUCCUCGUCCUCGUCCUCGUCCUCGGGGAGCCUGGAAGCUCAGAAAAAAACAGGCCGCGUUUUAGACUUGACCAUUGACCUAACUGUGCCACGUACGUUGCCAUCCAAGUACUAAAGAGCAAAGCAUCCUGGAGUGAUACCGGGUGACCUGCGGACUCGACCUUUCUGUGCCUGCGUCUUCACUGAUUAAACAAGAGGAUUGAGCUAACACCUCCUUGAGCUCUGAGAGCCUAUGCUUGCAGGCUCUCUAUCUGCGCGGGUCCCUUUGUGAUCAAACUUGGAUCUGUGGUGGAAAACGUGUUUAGCAGGGGAGACGCGCCAUAUGUAUUUCCAAACUGCGACAUCUCCUUGCCUAUGCUUUCCUAUAAAUAGAAAAAUGGGGGGACUCCCUAUUUUUCCAGAGUCCCCCUCCGUCUUUUGCACUGGGAACAGACAUGCUUCAUCACUGACAACAGGUCACAAGGGAUACGAGCCAACAUGUCGAAUCCCGGUGGGGGUCUUUCUUCUGCAUUACUUACCUUGGAGACACUAUGGAGAAGCUGGGAGAGGAACACGAGGGACCAAGAUACACAGAAAACCCCUGGAAAAAA
RNAcentral lists this long non-coding RNA (1015 nucleotides) under Canis lupus familiaris (dog). RNAcentral's name for it is "lncRNA (ENSCAFG00000044639.2)". The record is from RNAcentral. Lineage: Eukaryota; Metazoa; Chordata; Mammalia; Carnivora; Canidae.